RNAcentral lists this ribosomal RNA (508 nucleotides) under uncultured bacterium. RNAcentral describes it as "partial 16S ribosomal RNA". It matches the Rfam family "Bacterial small subunit ribosomal RNA", at positions 30 to 523 of the family's 1533-position model. The record is from RNAcentral.
AUUGAACGCUGGCGGCAUGCCUUACACAUGCAAGUCGAACGGCAGCGGGGGAGAAGCUUGCUUUUCCUGCCGGCGAGUGGCGAACGGGUGAGUAAUACAUCGGAACGUGCCCUGUAGUGGGGGAUAACUAGUCGAAAGAGUAGCUAAUACCGCAUACGCCCUACGGGGGAAAGGGGGGGAUCGCAAGACCUCUCACUAUUAGAGCGGCCGAUAUCGGAUUAGCUAGUUGGUGAGGUAAAGGCUCACCAAGGCGACGAUCCGUAGCUGGUUUGAGAGGACGACCAGCCACACUGGGACUGAGACACGGCCCAGACUCCUACGGGAGGCAGCAGUGGGGAAUUUUGGACAAUGGGGGCAACCCUGAUCCAGCCAUUCCGCGUGUGCGAUGAAGGCCUUCGGGUUGUAAAGCACUUUUGGCAGGAAAGAAAUCGCACGGGAUAACACCCCGUGUGGAUGACGGUACCUGCAGAAUAAGCACCGGCUAACUACGUGCCAGCAGCCGCAGUAA